GGUGGCUCAGUGGUAGAGUGCUUGUCUUGCAUGCAUGAGGCCAUGGGUUCGAUUCCUUAGCACCA
This 65-nucleotide transfer RNA is filed under the name Dipodomys ordii (Ord's kangaroo rat). It matches the Rfam family "tRNA". Rfam says of the family: Transfer RNA (tRNA) molecules are approximately 80 nucleotides in length. Their secondary structure includes four short double-helical elements and three loops (D, anti-codon, and T loops). The record is from Rfam by way of RNAcentral. Lineage: Eukaryota; Metazoa; Chordata; Mammalia; Rodentia; Heteromyidae.